Molecule: non-coding RNA, 3825 nt
Organism: Oryctolagus cuniculus (rabbit)
Lineage: Eukaryota; Metazoa; Chordata; Mammalia; Lagomorpha; Leporidae
Source: RefSeq, a predicted model, not a curated record
UCUUUGGGGGUGGGGAAGCUGCUCUGUGUGAUGCCGAGACAGUGGCACACACAGGUGACAGUGUGCACGUGUGUGAUGCUGAGAUGUAGACACACAUGUGUGAUGCCGAGACAGUGGGCACACACAGGUGACAGUGUGCACACAUGUGUGAUGCUGAGAUGUAGACACACAUGUGUGAUGCCGAGACAGUGGCACACACAGGUGACAGUGUGCACGUGUGUGAUGCUGAGAUGUAGCCACACAUGUGUGAUGCUGUGACAGUGCGCACACACAUGAUGCUAUGACAGUGGACACAUGUAUGUGAUGCUGAGAUGGUGUGCACACAUGCGUGAUGCUGAGAUGUGGACACAUGUGUGAUGCCAAGACAGUGGGGACACAUGUGACACUGUGACAGUAUGCGCACGUGUGUGAUGCUGAGAUGUAGCCACACAUGUGUGAUGCUGUGACAGUGGGCACACACAGGUGACAGUGUGCACACGUGUGAUGCUGAGAUGUAGACACACAUGUGUGAUGCUGUGACAGUGGGCACACACAGGUGACAGUGUGCACACGUGUGAUGCUGAGAUGUAGACACACAUGUGUGAUGCUGUGACAGUGGGCACACACAGGUGACAGUGUGCACACGUGUGAUGCUGAGAUGUAGACACACAUGUGUGAUGCUGUGACAGUGGGCACACACAGGUGACAGUGUGCACACGUGUGAUGCUGAGAUGUAGACACACAUGUGUGAUGCUGUGACAGUGGGCACACACAGGUGACAGUGUGCACACGUGUGAUGCUGAGAUGUAGACACACAUGUGUGAUGCUGUGACAGUGGGCACACACAGGUGACAGUGUGCACACGUGUGAUGCUGAGAUGUAGACACACAUGUGUGAUGCUGUGACAGUGGGCACACACAGGUGACAGUGUGCACACGUGUGAUGCUGAGAUGUAGCCACACAUGUGUGAUGCUGUGACAGUGGGCACACACAGGUGACAGUGUGCACAUGUGUGAUGCUGAGAUGUAGACACACAUGUGUGAUGCUGUGACAGUGCGCACACACAUGAUGCUAUGACAGUGGACACAUGUAUGUGAUGCUGAGAUGGUGUGCACACAUGCGUGAUGCUGAGAUGUGGACACACGUGUGAUGCCAAGACAGUGGGGACACAUGUGACACUGUGACAGUAUGCGCACGUGUGUGAUGCUGAGAUGUAGCCACACAUGUGUGAUUCUGUGACAGUGGGCACACACAGGUGACAGUGUGCACACAUGUGUGAUGCUGAGAUGUAGACACACGUGAUGCUGAGACAGUUGGGACACACGUGAUGCUGUGACAGUGUGCACAUGUGUGUGAUGCUGAGGUGUGGACACGUGUGUGAUGCUGUGAUAGUGCACAUGUGUGUGAUGCUGAGAUGGUGUACACACAUGUGUGAUGUGGAGUUGUGGGCACACAUGUGUGAUGCUGAGACAGUGGGGACACAUGUGACACUGUGACAGUGCGCACACAUGUGUGAUGCUGAGAUGUGGACGCACAUGUUUGACACUGUGCACAUGUGUGUGACGCUGAGAUGUGGACACGUGUGUGAUGCUGUGACAGUGGACACACGUGUGUGAUACUUAGAUGGUGUGCACACAUGUGUGAUGCUGAGAUGUGGACGCAUGUGUGUGACACUGUGACAGUGUGCACACAUGUGUGAUGCUGAGAUGUGGACACACAUGUAUGAUGCUGUGACAGUGCACAUGUGUGACGCUGAAUGUGGACACGUGUGUGAUGCUGAGGUGUGGACGCACGUGUGUGAUGCUGAGACAGUACACAUGUGUGACGCUGAAUGUGGACACGUGUGUUGCUGUGCAGGAGGCACUGUAGCAGUGGCACACACCGUGGAGCGCUUACCUAAGCCCACGGGAGGUGCGACCCCAAGAGUAAGCCUUCCGUGGGCUGUGGGCUUGGUGAGGAUGCGGAGGCUCUGUUGGCUCAUGAUGUCCCCAGUCACCCUCAGGUGAGGACGGUGAUGGGGCACCUGGCCCAUGUAGGGGCAGGGGGCACCUGAGACAUCUCUGCUCUCCGCACAGUUUGCUGUGGGCCUGAAAUUGCUGUAAAAAAGCCUUUUUUCCAAGAAAGAAGGAAAAUUACAAAAAAGCCCAUGUUUUUCUUCAAAAAUAUUCCAGUUCUUAGAUGAAAUUCUCUCUUACAAUUUGUCUUGAAAUGUUGAUCACAUAUAUGUUAAUUGUAUCUGACAGUGUCAGUGACUCAGUUUCCUGUUAGUUAUAUAGUUAGAUAUAGUUAGAUUGUUGUAUUUUUUAAAAUAUUUAUUUUUUGUUUAUUUGAAAGAGUUAAAGAGAGAGGUAGAAAGACAGAGUUACAGAGAGGUAGAGAGAGAGGUCUUCCAUCGUCUGGUUCACUCCCCAGAUGGCUGCAAUGGCCAGAUCUGAGCCGGUCUGAAGCCAGGAGCCAGGAGCUUUUUCUGGGUCUCCCAUGUAGGUGCAGGGGCCCAAGGACUUGGGCCGUCAUCAUCUUUUUUUAAGAUUUAUUUUUAAGUCAGAGUUACACACAGAGAAAAGAGGGGGGAGAGAGAGAGAGAGAGAGAGAGGAGAGAGAGAGAGAGGUCUUCUAUCUGCUGGUUUACUCUCCAGUUGGCAGCAACGGCCGGAGCAGUGCCAAUGUGAAGCUGGGAGCCUGGACCUUCCUCCAGGUCUCCCACAUCUUCUUGGGCAUCUUCUACUGCUUUCCCAGGCCACAGCAGAGAGCUGGAUAGGAAGAGGAGCAGCUGGGACUAGAACCGGCGCCCACAUGGGAUACCAGCGCUUCAGGCCAGGGCUUUAACCCGUUGUGCCACAGCACCAGCCCCAGGUUGUUCUAUUGAUCUUUGUGGUUGGUGGUAUGGUGCCCACCUCCCAACGUGACCUUAUUUGGAGAUAGGGUCUCUGCACUUGUAGCUAAGGAUGCACUGACAGCCUACCAGGCUGUGGGAGGCCCAACCCCAGUGAGCGUGCCCUGGAAGAGGGAAGAGGACACACAGACACGGGGGGGAGGCUGGAGCCAUGUGGCUUCAAGCCACGGAGCCAGCAGAGCCACCAGGAGCUGCUUCCGGGGAGUGCAGUCCACUGAGCCUGGUUUCAGACUUCUGGCUUCCGCAAUGGAGAGCCCCUACAUUCCUGUGUUGUUUGCCCCAGGUGCGGUGAUCAUAUUUGUGGGACAGCAGCCAGAGAACCAGUCAGUCUUACUGCUGGGGAGGUUUUCCUUGGAUUUCUGGUCUGGCCUAAGAAGUGCACAGGCUGUGUGGGCUGUGAGCUUCUUCCAGGAGGAAUCCGCUCCCUGCUCCCACAGGCUGAGCCCUCAAUACCUCUGUUGGCACAGUGUGUGUGGAGCUGGCCGGAGAUGAGACAGGCUCUGUCGCCCCAGCAUGCCGACCCUACCCCACUCGCUCUUUUGCUGUAAGAUUCCUGGCAUAGAACCUAGCGGUGCAACACAGUCCCGCCUUCCUAGUCCAGAACGCCCACGUGUGUCUCAACAGCACAGGAACGCAUAAGAAAUUAAGUUUCCCACCACUGUUUGUGUCGCUUCCUCCGCCCCUUCCACGCUUUCUGGGGAAGCCCAGUGCUGGGGCUGGGGCUGGGGCUGGGACUUUGGAUCCCUCUCUCCAGAUCUUGGCCUCUCCAAUCCCGGGUGCUCUGUUAGUCUCGGACCGCACGCUGAAGGGGACGGAUGCUCCGCGGACGGUUUUCUGUUUCUGAGCUGUCUGGUUUCCUGUGCAGCACUGGCAAGCCUGUUCCCAUGGGGUCCAGGCAGCUUUUCCUGACUGGUUUCAUUGCCUGAAAUGUUGCGUUUGUUGUGAGGACGCUG